CGGCGGACGGGUGAGUAACACGUGGAUAACCUACCUAUAAGACUGGGAUAACUUCGGGAAACCGGAGCUAAUACCGGAUAACAUGUUGAACCGCAUGGUUCAACAGUGAAAGACGGUCUUGCCGUCACUUAUAGAUGGAUCCGCGCCGCAUUAGCUAGUUGGUAAGGUAACGGCUUACCAAGGCAACGAUGCGUAGCCGACCUGAGAGGGUGAUCGGCCACACUGGAACUGAGACACGGUCCAG
This 244-nucleotide ribosomal RNA is filed under the name uncultured Staphylococcus sp. RNAcentral describes it as "partial 16S ribosomal RNA". It matches the Rfam family "Bacterial small subunit ribosomal RNA", at positions 96 to 334 of the family's 1533-position model. The record is from RNAcentral. Lineage: Bacteria; Bacillati; Bacillota; Bacilli; Caryophanales; Staphylococcaceae.